CCCUUAGAUGUUCUGGGCAGCACGCGCGCUACAAUGGUCUUCGCAAACGGAUGCAUUCUAGAAGGAGAAUGCCAAUCUUGGAAUCUAUGCCUUGGUCGGGACAGUUGCUUGCAAUUUUUCGACUCGAACCAGGAAUUCCUUGUAAUCGUGAUUCAUCACAUCACGAUGAAUACGUCCCUGCCCUUUGUACACACCGCCCGUCGCUCCUACCGAUCGAAGAGUUAGGUGAAUUGUUUUGAUCGAUAAGAUUUGACUAUGGUCAACUCUCGUUGUGAAAUUCUGUGAAUCUGACUGUUUAGAGGAAGGAAAAGUCGUAACA
This 319-nucleotide ribosomal RNA is filed under the name uncultured eukaryote. RNAcentral's name for it is "partial 18S ribosomal RNA". It matches the Rfam family "Eukaryotic small subunit ribosomal RNA", at positions 1470 to 1796 of the family's 1831-position model. The record is from RNAcentral.